CCUACGGGUGGCAGCAGUGAGGAAUAUUGGUCAAUGGGCGAGAGCCUGAACCAGCCAAGUCGCGUGAAGGAUGACGGCCCUACGGGUUGUAAACUUCUUUUGUCAGGGAGCAAUUGGGUCCACGCGUGUGCUUAGCGAGAGUACCUGAAGAAAAAGCAUCGGCUAACUCCGUCCCAGCAGCCGCGGUAAUACAGAGGAUGCGAGCGUUAUCCGGUUUUAUGUGGUUUAAAGGGUGCGUAGGCGGAAGAUAAAGUCAGCGGUAAAAAUGCGGGGCUCAACCCCGUCGUGCCGUUGAAACUGAUGUACUUGAGGGGGCGAGAGGUAUGCGGAAUGAGUGGUGUAGCGGUGAAAUGCAUAGAUAUCACGCAGAACUCCGAUUGCGAAGGCAGCAUACCGGCGCGCAACUGACGCUGAAGCACGAAAGCGUGGGUAGCGAACAGGAUUAGAUACCCUGGUAGUC
Molecule: ribosomal RNA, 460 nt
Filed under: uncultured bacterium
Lineage: Bacteria
Description: partial 16S ribosomal RNA
Rfam family: Bacterial small subunit ribosomal RNA
Source: RNAcentral